Molecule: ribosomal RNA, 672 nt
Filed under: uncultured bacterium
Lineage: Bacteria
Description: bacterial SSU rRNA
Rfam family: Bacterial small subunit ribosomal RNA
Source: RNAcentral
GCGAAAGUUUCCUUACGGGAAACAAGUAGAGUGGCGCACGGGUGAGUAACACGUAGGUAAUCUACCUUCGGAUGGGGAAUAACAAUCGGAAACGGUUGCUAAUACCGCAUAAUGCAGCGGCACCUAAUGGUGGCAGUUGUUAAAGCGGGGGAUCGAAAGACCUCGCGUCUGAAGAGGAGCCUGCGGCGGAUUAGCUAGUUGGUAAGGUAACGGCUUACCAAGGCAACGAUCCGUAACCGGCCUGAGAGGGCGGUCGGUCACACUGACACUGACAUACGGGUCAGACUCCUACGGGAGGCAGCAGUCGGGAAUUUUGGGCAAUGGGCGAAAGCCUGACCCAGCAACGCCGCGUGAAGGAUGAAAUCCCUCGGGAUGUAAACUUCGCAAGAACGGGAAGAAUAAGUUUCAGUUAAUAUCUGAAACGAUGACGGUACCGUUUGUAAGCUCCGGCUAACUCCGUGCCAGCAGCCGCGGUAAUACGGGGGGAGCAAGCGUUGUUCGGAUUUACUGGGCGUAAAGGGCGCGUAGGCGGCCAGCACAAGUCAGUUGUGAAAUCUCCGAGCUUAACUCGGAAAGGUCAACUGAUACUGUGCGGCUAGAGUGCAGAAGGGGCAACUGGAAUUCUUGGUGUAGCGGUGAAAUGCGUAGAUAUCAAGAGGAACACCUGCGGCG